RNAcentral lists this ribosomal RNA (495 nucleotides) under Triticum aestivum (bread wheat). RNAcentral describes it as "partial small subunit ribosomal RNA". The record is from RNAcentral. Lineage: Eukaryota; Viridiplantae; Streptophyta; Magnoliopsida; Poales; Poaceae.
AUGAAUACAUGCCAGAAUACAGGCCGUCUGGAACAUAAUCUUCAAUGGUUUAAACUCUACAACGUGUGUUUCGAAAAGGAGGACCAGGGGACAGAGCCCUAUGGUUGUUUCUCUCCUCGUGUUCGGGACAAUUCACUAUUAAUGUCUGCUUCUUCCGUUGUGUUGCCUCCCACUGUGGGCGAGUCCAUCGUCGGGCUUGCGGCUCCGGUGUUGCAACUCAUGCCCGAGCUUCGGGAUAUAUGUUCGAACCUUGCUUCGCCUUUGUCCUUGGAGCGAUUGGAGGUGGACUCAUCGCCGACUUUGUGUAAGGAACACGCUUCAUCUCUAUCAUGUGAGCAACUAAAGGCGCCGAAGUCGAUUGUGUCGAUGGUUCCUGUGGUGGAGGAUGUUGUGUCGGUGGUUCCUCGGGUCGAUGAUGUUGAUGUUGCUGGUCGGUUGGUGCCUGCUCCUAUGAGUCCCUUGGUUGACGACAACGACACCAAGAAAUUCAAUUAG